Spinacia oleracea (spinach) is the source of this 817-nucleotide long non-coding RNA. RefSeq lists it as uncharacterized. The record is from RefSeq and is a predicted model, not a curated record. The transcript is spliced from 4 exons. NCBI's taxonomy places the organism in Eukaryota, Viridiplantae, Streptophyta, Magnoliopsida, Caryophyllales, Amaranthaceae.
ACCUUACUCCAUACUCACGCAGCCAACUUCUUCUCUUCUCUCAGCUUGCAGUCACGUACUCCAUAAGCCUCCUUCUUCUCUCGUGCAAGUCAGCCCCUCCGGCCACCAUCACCGCCCACCAUCAACACCGACUCCUCUCCUCCAAAGUCCGGUCGUUCUUCUCCUCCAAAAUUCGCAGUGCUGUCCUCCAGACUCCGGCCGUUCUUCUUCACCGGCCUAGCUACGUCCUCCUCUGCGUCAUCUUCACCGGCGACGAGGCCAAAGUAUUCUUAAUUUGGUUAAGGAUGGUUUUGUCACCGGGAAGCCUACCGAGAUCAAGUCGAGGCCCGUGCUAGGCGUAUGAAUAAGGCAUGAGGAAGGGUCGUUACUCUAGAUAUGCAUUUCCUAUGUGUAGAGGCUAGAUAUGUUGGGGAUUAUUUGGCACUGCCAAUGCACCAAGAUAUUAAACAUUUUCUCCUCAGCUCAGUUUCUUAUCUGAAGCAAAAAUCAAGAUAAUUCAGGUUUUCAAAACUCCGAGGGAGGGGCCCUUUACCAAAGAGGAGUUGGAUGAAGUUCGAGACAAGUGGGCUACUUACUUCAACGAUUGUGAACUACCCUCAGUGUAAUAAAUAGAGCAGGCUUGUAGUUAUCCGUGACUCUUACAUUAUUUUGUUAUUUAUCGAUUUAAUUAAUUACAUUUGAAUUAAUUCGGUAAUAUUAUUGGAAAUUUAAAAUUUAUAUCAGUUUUGAGGAAUGUCAAGCUGAUGUUUGAUGAAACAGUAUUCUAUAAAUUAUAAUGCAGAAUUUAUAUUGCAAAAUCAGAAAUUAUAUUGCAGAA